GAUGAAGAACGCAGCGAAAUGCGAUACUUGGUGUGAAUUGCAGAAUCCCGUGAACCAUCGAGUCUUUGAACGCAAGUUGCGCCCGAAGCCACUAGGCCGAGGGCACGCCUGCCUGGGCGUCACACGCCGUUGCCCCCCCAUCUACUCCUUCGGGAUUGCGGGGGGGCGGAUGAUGGCCUCCUGUGCGCCUAGCCGCGCGGUUGGCAUAAAUACCAAGUCCUCGGCGACGCACGCCACGACAAUCGGUGGUUGCGAAACCUCGGUUGCCCGUUGUGUGCGUUCGUCGCGCAUCGAGGGCUCGAAAAAAUGCUCGGCUCCGGCUGGGCUUUCAACGCGACCCCAGGUCAGGCGGGGUUACCCGCUGAAUUUAAGCAUAUCAAUAAGCGGAGGA
RNAcentral lists this unclassified non-coding RNA (391 nucleotides) under soil metagenome. Its description in RNAcentral is "partial contains 5.8S ribosomal RNA, internal transcribed spacer 2, and large subunit ribosomal RNA". The stretch from base 1 to 122 matches the Rfam family "5.8S ribosomal RNA", at positions 35 to 154 of the family's 154-position model. The record is from RNAcentral.